Molecule: ribosomal RNA, 253 nt
Filed under: uncultured bacterium
Lineage: Bacteria
Description: partial 16S ribosomal RNA
Rfam family: Bacterial small subunit ribosomal RNA
Source: RNAcentral
UACGUAGGGUGCAAGCGUUAAUCGGAAUUACUGGGCGUAAAGCGUGCGCAGGCGGUUUCGUAAGUCUGUCGUGAAAUCCCCGGGCUUAACCUGGGAAUGGCGAUGGAGACUGCGAGGCUAGAGUUUGGCAGAGGGGGGUAGAAUUCCACGUGUAGCAGUGAAAUGCGUAGAGAUGCGGAGGAACACCGAUGGCGAAGGCAGCCCCCUGGGCUAACACUGACGCUCAGGCACGAAAGCGUGGGGAGCAAACAGG